RNAcentral lists this small RNA (576 nucleotides) under Pongo abelii (Sumatran orangutan). RNAcentral's name for it is "retained intron". The record is from RNAcentral. Lineage: Eukaryota; Metazoa; Chordata; Mammalia; Primates; Hominidae.
CUGUUCGGCGGGCACCUCAGCACCCUCAGAUUGAGCUUCCCCAACCUCUUUAAGCUCCAAGCACUGUCCGAACCGCUCCACUGUGCCCACAGUUCCUGGCCUGGAACAGCCCACCCCUCACCUCCGAGUUUGUGGCACUCCUCCCAGCCCUGGUGGACGCUGGCACAGCCCUGGAGAUGCUGCACGCGCUGCUGGACCUGCCCUGCUUGACGGCGGUGCUGGACCUGCAGCUCAGGUCAUCACCGGCUCCAUCCGAGAGGCCGCUCUGGGACACCUCUCUCAGGGCCCCCAGCUGCCUGGAGGCCUUCCGGGACCCGCAGUUCCAGGGUCUUUUCCAAUACCUGCUGCGCCCCAAGGCCAGCGGCACCACUGAGAGGUUGGCGCCGCUCCACCAGCUGUUGCAGCCCAUGGCCGGCUGUGCCCGCGUGGUCCAGUGUGCCGAGGCCGUGCCCACGCUGCUGCAGGCAUUCUUCUCAGCAGUGACCCAGGUGAGCUCGCCGCCUGGGGCCCCCCAUUCCCACGGGCCUCACAACCGAGGGGUAGGCCAGAGCCAGUGCUGUGGGGUCCCCCUGAGUU